GACGAACGCUGGCGGCGUGCCUAAUACAUGCAAGUUGAGCGCUGAAGGUUGGUACUUGUACCGACUGGAUGAGCAGCGAACGGGUGAGUAACGCGUGGGGAAUCUGCCUUUGAGCGGGGGACAACAUUUGGAAACGAAUGCUAAUACCGCAUAAAAACUUUAAACACAAGUUUUAAGUUUGAAAGAUGCAAUUGCAUCACUCAAAGAUGAUCCCGCGUUGUAUUAGCUAGUUGGUGAGGUAAAGGCUCACCAAGGCGAUGAUACAUAGCCGACCUGAGAGGGGGAUCGGCCACAUUGGGACUGAGACACGGCCCAAACUCCUACGGGAGGCAGCAGUAGGGAAUCUUCCGCAAUGGACGAAAGUCUGACCGAGCAACGCCGCGUGAGUGAAGAAGGGUGUCGGAUCGUAAAACUCUGUUGGUAGAGAAGAACGUUGGUGAGAGUGGAAAGCUCAUCAAGUGACGGUAACUACCCAGAAAGGGACGGCUAACUACGUG
RNAcentral lists this ribosomal RNA (497 nucleotides) under uncultured bacterium. Its description in RNAcentral is "partial 16S ribosomal RNA". It matches the Rfam family "Bacterial small subunit ribosomal RNA", at positions 28 to 507 of the family's 1533-position model. The record is from RNAcentral.